CCUCCCGCUUUCCCUCCCUGAGCGGGUGCCGGCCACAAGACCGGCUUUCCUACCCCAGCCACCUCCCCUUUGGCUGGGGUAUUUUAU
Molecule: non-coding RNA, 87 nt
Filed under: Chitinimonas taiwanensis DSM 18899
Lineage: Bacteria; Pseudomonadati; Pseudomonadota; Betaproteobacteria; Neisseriales; Chitinibacteraceae
Description: Burkholderia RNA 7 (anti-hemB)
Rfam family: Burkholderia RNA 7 (anti-hemB)
About the family: This RNA motif was identified by computational search in b-proteobacteria Burkholderia. Co-purified with Hfq, expression confirmed by Northern blot. Putative functional homologue of SP-RydB and predicted target hemB.
Source: Rfam by way of RNAcentral